Molecule: non-coding RNA, 90 nt
Organism: Pelobates cultripes (western spadefoot toad)
Lineage: Eukaryota; Metazoa; Chordata; Amphibia; Anura; Pelobatidae
Source: the annotation of a GenBank genome assembly
CUCCGGCAGACCCUCCCUCCCAGACCCUCCUACUUCAACAUGGAUGCUGUCCAGGAAGUAGGAGGGUCUGGGAGGGAGGGUCUGCCGGAG